GAGGUUCGACUAAGCCAUGCGAGUCGAAUGUAGCAAUACAUGGCGUACUGCUCAGUAACACGUGGACAACCUACCCCUAGGACGGGGAUAAACCCGGGAAACUGGGUAUAAUACCCGAUAGAUCUCGGCUGCUGGAAUGCAUCGAGAUCUAAAGCUCCGGCGCCUAAGGAUGGGUCUGCGGCCUAUCAGGUAGUAGUGGGUGUAGUGUACCUACUAGCCUACGACGGGUACGGGUUGUGAGAGCAAGAGCCCGGAGAUGGAUUCUGAGACACGAAUCCAGGCCCUACGGGGUGCAGCAGGCGCGAAAACUUUACAAUGCUGGCAACAGCGAUAAGGGGACCUCGAGUGCCAGGUUACAAAUCUGGCUGUCGUGAUGCCUAAAAAGCAUUGCAUAGCAAGGGCCGGGCAAGACCGGUGCCAGCCGCCGCGGUAACACCGGCGGCUCGAGUGGUAACCGUUAUUAUUGGGUCUAAAGGGUCUGUAGCCGGCCGGAUAAGUCUCUUGGGAAAUCUGGCAGCUUAACUGUCAGGCUUUCAGGAGAUACUGUCUGGCUCGAGGCCGGGAGAGGUGAGAGGUACUUCAGGGGUAGGGGUGAAAUCUUGUAAUCCUUGAAGGACCACCAGUGGCGAAGGCGUCUCACCAGAACGGACCUGACGGCAAGGGACGAAAGCUAGGGGCACGAACCGGAUUAGAUACCCGGGUAGUCCUAGCCGUAAACGAUACUCGCUAGGUGUCGGCCACGGUGCGACCGUUGUCGGUGCCGUAGGGAAGCCGUGAAGCGAGCCACCUGGGAAGUACGGCCGCAGGCUGAA
RNAcentral lists this ribosomal RNA (812 nucleotides) under uncultured methanogenic archaeon. RNAcentral's name for it is "bacterial SSU rRNA". It matches the Rfam family "Archaeal small subunit ribosomal RNA", at positions 35 to 853 of the family's 1478-position model. The record is from RNAcentral. Lineage: Archaea; Methanobacteriati; Methanobacteriota.